UCCCUCUCAGGGUCGCACCUGGAGAGUUUCCAGUCCUCUACCAGUCUCGGCUACGGGAGGGAGCGUCAAGCAGAGGCCCGUCCAUUCCAUUCCUAGCUUGGGCAGAGACUAGCGAGUGGAAGGCGGUCCGCUACAAAU
Molecule: small nucleolar RNA, 138 nt
Filed under: Ornithorhynchus anatinus (platypus)
Lineage: Eukaryota; Metazoa; Chordata; Mammalia; Monotremata; Ornithorhynchidae
Source: RNAcentral